Rhincodon typus (whale shark) is the source of this 1836-nucleotide long non-coding RNA. RefSeq lists it as uncharacterized. The record is from RefSeq and is a predicted model, not a curated record. The transcript has 5 exons. NCBI's taxonomy places the organism in Eukaryota, Metazoa, Chordata, Chondrichthyes, Orectolobiformes, Rhincodontidae.
AGCCACUCUUCAAAUGAGAUCUUUGCCUUAAAAUCACAGGUGAAUGCCUAUUGCAUAAAUGGGGAGAUUUCAUUCUGGUUUGUUGUGUCUUUGAGAGGUCCUUUCUGGAAGACAUAGUGGUGGGCAGCAGGAGAAGGCGUGGUUGGAUGACAGAUGUCGCAGAGUCACACUGAGGACUUGCCACAGUGGAUAUAUGAGGAUGGCAUAAGACAGGUGGGCCAAAAACCAGGAUGUCAUCAGAGUGACUACAGGCUACAGUACCUCUGCAUUGUGGCAUUCUACGCCAAGGAUGUGUCUAGAGACCAUUUUUUACUUUAUUAAAUUUAUCUGUAAAUAAACCCACAAGAUGCCUUCAAGUAAAUGGAAUCCAUGUACCUCAUUAAUGCAACCAUAUAAAAAGCUCAAGGCAUCAGUACACUCUGCUUCUUCAUAUACCUGAGAAUGAAGUGACCUGGUUAAUACCUGGUUCUGUCACAUUCUACUUGUGUUCCUCGUUCACAAAUUAUGGUCCAUUAUCCAAACGAUUUCCUCUGGGAACAAUAUAUUGAAAAAAAAGCUUUUUUCAGAGCACUAGUCAUCACUGCUUCAUCUGCAGUUGUAUGAAGUUUUGAAAUGAUGAUUCAUCUGAAACAAAUAUCUAUCAAUACUAUAUGCACCUUCCCUCUGAAGUCAAAUAAAUUUGCCGCUCACCUCUGCCGAGGUUUAUCUGAAAGUGUUGAAGGAAUUAGUGGCUCUAUUGGCACCUGACUAUUUAUGGCACGUUUAAAGCAAGGUGAUAUAAAAUUCUCUAAUUCAUGAUGUUAUGAACUUGGCCAUUAAGAAGGAACCAUCCUCCUCAUCUCACUGGAGGAACCAUUCCCCUCACUAAUAUCCAAAGUGUAAAACCAGUUAGUGAGUGAGGUAGACUCAAAGGGCUCUUCCCUUGCUUGUUUAAUAGCUGUGAACUAUCUACCCGGUGACUAUUCCCUCUCUGGCCUGCUGCUGCUAAACUACACAGUGCCUAUGUCCUUCAACAUGUUAUUCAUGUGUUUUGCACAGUUCACAUAUUCAGCUUUGCAGAAGCAGCACAAUGACUCCACCUGUCACCCGCAUUUCAAAAAACCUGAAGUCCACUUUUUGCAGCUGCUGACAUUUUCUACAUAUGUGUUCACAUCACCUAUGUGAAUCAUUCAUGACCUGCACAUGCCACUUGGCUAAGCUUCCAGGUCAUGCCGCAAGUUUACCUUUGUACUAUUUAUUAAUAAAUGUUAUGGGAUUCUGACAGAUAACUGAGCAAAGAACUCACUGAGCAAUCAUUAACAUUUUUGCAUGUGACAUUACUCUGAUUAUUUAGCUCCUGAAGUCUGCUGGUUAAAGUCAUAUGGACUCUCUCAUUGCUUUACCUCCAGAAGUCCCUCAGCUACUCUGGUGGGUGAAAAGAUACAAGCAGUACCCUCUUCUACCUUGUCAUUGAAUUCUCAGCUUUACCAUUCUGUUCCAAGGCACUCUUAAAUGAUCACUCUCACAGGAGUAGGCCCAUGGCAUAGUACACGCCAAAAACAGAGAGAAAUCAGUUGGCCACAAUGUGGGUCUUCAAGUUUUGACUGCAUCAGAUGCUUCUGUGUAGCUGCACAGGAGGGGCAUUGGUGAAGAGGAGCAAUGGAGGGGACAUGCUUCAUCAGCUGCUUUGUUGAGGUGUGGAAUGUUUGACCCUGCACUGACCAGUUCCACUUGCAGGUUGCUGUACUCCUGCCACAAAUAUGACUUUGCAGGCAGCAAGAUUACUUACACCCGCCUUGAUGUUUUCCACUUUAGUAUAAAUUAGUCCACAGUGGCUGUAUGUAGGGCAUAAGUAAU